GCGCUAAUAAGCGAAUCAUGGCGCAGCACGGAGCGGCAGAGUACUCAGGCCAUUUUUGCAAAAAUAUUUACGUAAAUUUUGGCGCACCCAUUCAUGCCAUCGCUAGGCGCUAUGCAUGGCUAUGCCUUCGGCGUCUACGAAACUAACCAAAAACAGCUGAUGCUUUCAGAAACCAUCUUGCAAUGGCGGAAGCAGACGUCGAGGAGAUUGAAGCGCUAAAAUCAGAAUUCGAAUGGAUUUUGCAAGAAGAAGUAAACAUUGUGUUGCAGCAGCUGCAAGACAUCAUGCUGGAAUGCUCCAAGCGUUUCCCGCACUCAUUCUCUGACCAAGAAAACCUAGUCAAGACUGACAAGUUGAUCCUGAACAGCACAAGCUCCACAGCUGCCCCUGAGCAAAUUAAAGUCCUGGCAACAAUGUCAGGGGAUAGCAUCAGCCACGCAGACAUUGCACUGCGCAUUCCCAAGCAUCCCGGCACCACCUUGAGGACAAUAGUGCAAAAUGACUGCCAGUGGAAGCUGCAGCAGGUGCAAGACGCGGGCAACAACCUAAUGACUGCUUUGCAACUGCUCACGCCGCCGCCACCGAAAACCAAGUUUGAGUUCAAGUCUGCAGAAGAAGUAACCCAGCUCAUGACCACCGUAAUGGGUUGCCUGCAGAGGGGUCGGGCGAGCCUCAUCAUUCCAAAGAAACGCACCAUCGACGAGAUUCUUGGAAGCCGGAACAUGAAAUCCUUGCAACCGCCACUGCCUCAAGAUCUGGGCGCCAGCUUCUAUGUGCAGUCCCACAAGCUCAUCUUUGCUGUGUAUUACGUCCAUAAGGACUCGCACGGCCAGCCGAAGUUUGAUGUCUUUCAGGCAGAGACGUCUGUGCCCUGGCUGAGUGAAGUCCUCGUACUGUUCACCAUAGCCCUGCAGCUCUGCCAGCAGCUUAAGGACAAGGUCGCCGUGUUCUACCAGUACAGGGAGUUCCACAUCCCGUAAGAGGAAACAAAGGUUCACAAGCUGUGUUGUGAAAGGACAGAGGAGAGGUGUAUUCAACGGGAUACUUAAGGAAGAACAACAACUGAGUCGGCACACUACCAAAGUUCUACACCUGUGAAGCUUCAGCUCCUACAGGAUGGUCCAGUUGGCAUCACUACUAUCGGCUGUGGCAGCUAAAAUUACUCAACUCGCCCAAAGGAAACACACUUACGUUUUUUUUUUUUUUUUUCUAACUUUCCCAGCGCUCAAAAAAGGUCACGGGUAUUGUGCAUAGGGCACCUGUUUAGUGAAAGGAAAAUUUUGCUAUGUUUAUGUACUAUUCUGGCGAGAAGGUAAUUGCACAGGUCACGACCAGGUCAGCUCUGGUCAGCUCUGGUCAGCUCUGACCAGGUCAGCUCUGGCAAGCUCUGGUCAUGAAAAACUCUUGCUACACUAUGGGCACCUACUUUCGUGUGUGUGGCCCUUUAUGUUUUAUUUAUAUAAUGAGUUUUGUUCUAGGCUGAUUAUGUUUACUCGCAUAGGUCUCAUCAGUAUUUGUGAAGUUAACACUUUUUCUCUGAGCUGUUGGAAUGAAUAAGUUUGCUAUUGCCACGAAUGAACUUACGAUAUACUUUUGCCUAAUUAAUGGGCCGACCGAAGGUAUAGUGAUAAGCAAGCAAAAACAAAGUCAUUAAAUGCAGAUGGUAGAUAGGCACUGUUUUGUCUAUCAGGCUUGCUAUCUGUGGAAGCCACUGUGGAAACUUUUUCUUUUUUUCAUUUUCUGAAGCUUUCUGUAUAAUGCAGCAGAACUAGAACAAAU
This 1779-nucleotide unclassified non-coding RNA is filed under the name Dermacentor andersoni. RNAcentral's name for it is "protein rogdi-like". The record is from RNAcentral. Lineage: Eukaryota; Metazoa; Arthropoda; Arachnida; Ixodida; Ixodidae.